ACCUAGGCGAUGAUACGUAGCCGACCUGAGAGGGUGACCGGCCACAUUGGGACUGAGACACGGCCCAAACUCCUACGGGAGGCAGCAGUAGGGAAUUUUCGGCAAUGGGCGAAAGCCUGACCGAGCAACGCCGCGUGAGUGAAGAAGGCCUUCGGGUUGUAAAGCUCUGUUGUGAAGGAAGAACGGCUCAUACAGGGAAUGGUAUGGGAGUGACGGUACUUUACCAGAAAGCCACGGCUAACUACGUGCCAGCAGCCGCGGUAAUACGUAGGUGGCGAGCGUUAUCCGGAAUUAUUGGGCGUAAAGGGUGCGCAGGCGGUUUGUUAAGUUUAAGGUGAAAGCGUGGGGCUUAACCCCAUAUAGCCUUAGAAACUGACAGACUAGAGUACAGGAGAGGGCAAUGGAAUUCCAUGUGUAGCGGUAAAAUGCGUAGAUAUAUGGAGGAACACCAGUGGCGAAGGCGGUUGCCUGGCCUGUAACUGACGCUCAUGCACGAAAGCGUGGGGAGCAAAUAGGAUUAGAUACCCUAGUAGUCCACGCCGUAAACGAUGAGAACUAAGUGUUGGGGAAACUCAGUGCUGCAGUUAACGCAAUAAGUUCUCCGCCUGGGGAGUAUGCACGCAAGUGUGAAACUCAAAGGAAUUGACGGGGGCCCGCACAAGCGGUGGAGUAUGUGGUUUAAUUCGACGCAACGCGAAGAACCUUACCAGGUCUUGACAUCCCCUGCAAAGACAUAGAGAUAUGUUGGAGGUUAUCAGGGAGACAGGUGGUGCAUGGUUGUCGUCAGCUCGUGUCGUGAGAUGUUGGGUUAAGUCCCGCAACGAGCGCAACCCUUGUCUUUAGUUGCUAACAUUAAGUUGAGGACUCUAGAGAGACUGCCGGUGACAAACCGGAGGAAGGUGGGGAUGACGUCAAAUCAUCAUGCCCCUUAUGACCUGGGCUACACACGUACUACAAUGGCGGAUACAACGAGAAGCAAGACAGUGAUGUGGAGCAAAACUCAGAAAGUCCGUCUCAGUUCGGAUUGAAGUCUGCAACCCGACUUCAUGAAGCCGGAAUCGCUAGUAAUCGCGGAUCAGCAUGCCGCGGUGAAUACGUUCUCGGGCCUUGUACACACCGCCCGUCAAACCAUGAGAGUUGGCAAUACCCGAAGCCGGUGGCCUAACCUCGCAAGAGGAGGGAGCCGUCGAAGGUAGGGCUGAUGAUUGGGGUUAAGUCGUAACAAGGUAUCCCUACGGGAACGUGGGGAUGGAUCACCUCCUUU
This is a non-coding RNA of Holdemania filiformis DSM 12042, 1264 nucleotides long. NCBI's taxonomy places the organism in Bacteria, Bacillati, Bacillota, Erysipelotrichia, Erysipelotrichales, Erysipelotrichaceae. The record is from Rfam.